GUUGCAGUUAAGUAAAAAUCAGGUUGUGCUCCUGCAUGGUCAUCAUUUGUGCCCACAGUGGAGAGAACAUGAGGCUCGCCAAAAGUUGUUUUCCCAUUUCGCUUUUGAUUGCGCAAAAUCAUUCCCUGUGCGCCUGAAGAAAGAGCUUCAUUACCCUCAGCAACUGAUUUUAUCUUUCCACCUCGAAUACAACGCACUAUUUUUCCCUUUACUUUUUCAGGAUCAAGUGUUCCACGCUUACACAGUUCACUGCACAGUAUAUACAUACAUGUCAACAACAAGAACAAUGUAAGAAAACAUUAAUAUUCUGAUAAAAAAGGUUGUUUGAAGCAAAUUAAGCUUGUGAGACUUUGCACUUACGCGUCUCGAAAUGUUGCAUUGGGAAGCUUAGCAUCAGUGGAAAGGAUCAAAGAAAAGUCCUGGUUCGGUGGCAAGUUUACAAAAAGACUCGCUCCCUGCAAAUAUUUAAUACAAACUUAUAACAAGUAUAUAUGCGACACUAAUCUAUCGUUAUGAUGCCAGAAAUUAGAAAAAAAGAGUGAAAAUGAAAGCAGAAAACGAUUACGUCAUAAUCUUUUAUAUAUAUGAAUAGGUUAGAAUAACAUGUAGACAUUUUAAUUAGAGAUCGAGGAUGUUACCUCGAUUACUUCAUUGUCGUUAAUGAUUAAAUUACUGCUGAAAUAUCUGUCUAUGGUGCUAGCAGCAAUGGUGAACACCCAAGGGGCCACAUUCACCACAGAACCAGGAGUUGGUCCAUCGUUCCCUGCAGAAGCAACUAAAAGUAUGUUUCUUGAAAUAGCAUGAAAGGCUCCAAUCGAGACUUCGUCAGUGAAUAUUCCUUCGGGACUGGCGACGUAACUACCACCAGCUGAAAGAUUGAUGACGUCGACGCCGUCGUCGAUGGCUUGGUCGAUAGCAGCCAAUACGUCGGCGCCGUAACAACCGGCUGGGUCUGUCAGAGACCAACACACUUUGUACGCCGCAACUCGUGCUCUCGGGGACCCACCCUUUGCGGUGCCAUUACCCACCGCAAAUACGCUUGCGCCUCCCACGAAAUUGCCUCCAGCGGUUGAUAGAGUGUGGGUACCAUGCCCCAUGAAGUCACGCGCUGUUUGCAUUGAGGGAACAAGUUCGCCAUUGUAGACCUCAAAAGCUUUAUUGAAGAAUCUUGCUCCUAUCAGCUUUCUGUUCAUAUCAUUAACAUGGCUUUAAAUAUGAUAUCUAUGUAUAAAUUGAAUAAUGCAGGAAACUAGGGACAAAAUAAAAAUAGAAAGAAAGGGUAAAAAGAGAAGAGGAACCUGUUGCAUGGAUUUGUCUUGGAUCGUGGAAGUUUGUUAAUUUGACAAACAUUACCACCACGCCAUUUGGAGGGAACAGGACCAUAUCCUUCAUCACCGAAGCUCUCUGACUCUGGCCAAACACCUAUCCAACGCCAAUUUCUGGUUUAAAGAAUGAACAUAAAUUAUCAUGCACAUAACAAACAAUUUAGUUUACCUGUGUCGAUGUUUGCAAUUAUUGUAUUUUCACCAAAGCUUCCCUCUUGCCAUGCAGAGUUCUUACCAUUUAUGUGUAGUCCAAGAAACUCCCAUGAGCGGGUAGUGUGCAGUUUAUGUUUUUUGCUCAAGAACACUGACACCACGUUAGGGUUUUCUGCCUCAUUCCAAACACUUUGUCAUAAACUAAUUUCAAACAAAACAAAAUGAAAAUGAAUAGGUAAUGAAUGGAAGCUAGCAUGCUCACUGCCAAUAUCUGCUGCUUCUUCCUCUUCCAGCAUUGCUGCAAACCCAUUUAUGUGUCUGUUGUAUGAGUAAAGAACUGCUUCUUUUGCUUUCUCCUCACUGUCAAACCAUUAAAUCACCUAUAUUAUAUAUUCUUCUCUCACAAAAAGAAAACAUUAAAUUAUUACAUUUGAUGUAUUCACCCUACUAUUAUCUGUUGAUUUCUUUAUAUAACAACAGUUUUUAUGACUGUUUGUUUGUGUACUAUGCAUUCUUUAGUCAAUUUCGAAUAAAAUACGUUUGAGUUAUUAUAUUUUAACAUUUAAAUUUUUCUGUUAUACUCAACUUACACCUUCAUAAAUUAUUAUUUUAUCAUAAUAUUUAAUUUAUAUUUAUUUUUAUUAUGUUAAUAUAAUAUUUUAUUAUAAAAACUCACUGUCAACCGGAUGUAGAAACAAAAUGCAGUGUCAAACAACACUUUUUAAACUAAUAUUCUAUGGAUAGAGAGACACCUAACAUGAUAAAAACGAAAUUAGUCAGAACGAAUAACUAGUGAAUAAACACCAUCUACUAAAUAUGAGACUUUAAUUGUAACAAUAUAUAAUUGGAUCUUUGAAAAUUGAAUGUAUAAUAGGACAACAAUUAAUGAAAACAAAAUUACACAGCAAACAACAAUUUGAUACCUUCCCAAGAUUGAAGCUAGUAAAUCAUAAUGAGAAUACGUAGCAAUUUGGAGGUCAACAGAAGUAGGGUUGGAACCAUGAGAGUGAGUUCCCAAGUAUACAAUGUAACACUGCAAACAAAAUCAAACAUUUCUGAAAUAUAACCAAUGAUCAAUGAUGGAAACUCAGCAAUAUCACAACCAAAUCAUCAUCAUAUCAUCAUUUUAUGCUACAAUUUUAGUGUAAGAUGAAUUAGCAAUAAGCAAAAGCAGUUUGCUUGCCUUUUUGCUGCCAUGAACAGCUUCAAGAAAGAAAGUGAAAAUAAGAAACGAGGAAACUAUAAUAAGACGGAGAAGAAAAACGGAGCUGCCCAUUCUUUUCAACAGAUCUUUUGGAAAUGCUUGUGAUGAAUAUCAGCUAGGAAAUGCAAAUUUAUAGGACAUCUUUGUUAUCAAAAAAGGGUAAGAAAGAAAAGAAAAGAAAGAAUAUAUAGGAAAUAUGAUUAUUCAAGUAGAAGAAAAAAAAAUGAAAAGUGGAUUGAUAAUAUAUUAUAUGUUUAAAAAUAAACUUGUAAAAUAAAAUUUUGAAAAUAAUUCAGUGUAAAAACAAUUUUUAAAAUAUAAAUAAUUUUUUUACAAAAAUAAGUUUAAAAAAUGUUUAAAUAAAAAUAAAUAUUGUUACAAAAUUUAACAAGUAAAAAUAUAGUUUAUUUAUUAUUUUUAUAAUUUAUAUUUUAAUUGUUUCUUUUAAAAAUAAAAAUUAUAAAAAAUAUAUUGAAUAUAUAAUGAUUAUAGUUUGUCCAUAAAGAAUCAAUUAUAUACUUUCCUACAAAUGUUGGAGAGAAAGUUGAUUCCAUCCUGCUUUAUGCCUUUCUUCUAUAAUUUUAGGGUUUAUAUUCAUUUCCAUCCGUAUAAGCAAACAGAAAACCGCCUUUUUUUUCUUUUUUGUCUUUGGGAAAUGUGUAUGUCAUAGCUUUUGCUUUUCACUAAUCUUUGUAUAACUUUUCUAUAUACAGUUAAAUUUAAGUUUAAAAUUUAUGAAAUAUUCCGUUAAAAUGUGUUAAUACAACAUACAUUGCUGUUAACUUUAAGACCACGUGUUUCAAAUAAGAUUAUGAAUUAUAAAAUAAAAUUUACUUUUCUCAUAAAAGUGUAAAAGAAAAAAUUGUCAAAGUGUAAGUCUUACAAAAAUUUAUAUUAAAAGAUUUAUAAGAAAUUCUAAGAAAAAUAAUGACAAUAUAAAGUCUAAAAAAAGUAAAAGAAAAGGGGUAUAACUUUUAAGAAGAUAACUUUGAUACUAACAUAUCGAUCUUUUAUUUUUAAUUAUAUAAUCUCUUUUAUAAGUAACCAUUAGAUGUAAAUCUAGUGGCUAAGAUCACCUUCCUUAAAAGAACUAGUCAUCAUUACACCAAGAAACACUUUAUAAUAGCUUAUAUGCCUAAAGUCGGAAAUUAAAUAUUUCAUUUUAAUAAUAAAAGUAAUAAACCUUUUGAACUGAAAAAUCUUCAUUUACAUAACACAUACAAUUUUUUUAAUUUAAUAUGUUAGAAGAAAAAUUCAUUUAUCUUAUUAUAAGAGAUACAUGUAUUACAAUCGUUUUCUUUCUUCUUUCUUGUAAAGGAAUGUCAGUAAAAUACAUUUUACUUCUUGGGUGAUGCUAAUGUGCAUUAUCAUUGCUCUCUUAUUUUAAAAUAUAUAAUUUAAACUAUUUAACAUAAAAUAGUUAAAAAAAAUCAUUAAGUGAAAUAUCUAUCUUCAAUGAAACGGAAGUGUUCGAGAUCCUUAUUAAUUAGGUUAUAUAUAUAUAUAUAUAUAUAUAUAUAUAUAUAUAUAUAUAUAUAUAUAUAUAUAUAUAUAUAUAUAUAUAUAAAAUAUUGAUUUAGAACUGGAUUAGUCUUCAUUGGGAUGAAACUCAAAUUCUAAGAUUAAUUCUUCAAGAGUGGUCUAGUUUGAGAAGAACGUUGGCAUGAUGCGAACUUGCCUGCAUUUCCAUUAUUAAUGUUCUUAUUAUACAUAAAACACACAAUACAUCAUAACAGAUAGAGAAAAAACCAAACACGUCCCAGAAAAAAAACAACGCAACCAUUACCAUAACACGAGAUGAGAUCCUAGCUGGAGUGAAACUUAUUAUCCACGCGUCCACGCAAUUACUAUGAUAAGAAAGGAUCUAAACUCAACGAACUACAUUGAAGAGUUUUUCAUCUGCGCUUUACUGUAAUAGGACUCCUUACUAUAUGCUUUCCAUCUGUCCAUCGCAAUUCUCCAAAUUGAUAAGUUCUCCGCUUAGUUACACUGCUUGCCUGCACAGUCACCUUGAACGUCUUCUUUUCACCAAUUUUAUUGAAGUUCAAGGAAUUUGGCACAACGGCAAUGUUAUAUCCAGGUAAUUGGGCCGUUGCAGUGUAUGUGCUUGGUGUUCCAACAUUUGUUAAAGUGCGAGUAAUGGUUACGGAUUUUAAGCCUAGAUUUGGCAAUGUGAUUGAAGGGUAGUUCAAAUCUGUUACACUGUGAGUGCCUGAACAAAUGAAAGUUCGGUUGAAGUUGAGAGCAGAAAUGAGCUGUUGGUCGUAUCCAGAAGCACAUAAGAAGUUCAAGUAAUCAGUGAGGCCUAGAUCGUAAACGAGGCCGGGAUCUAUGGCAAGGUCAGGUUGAACAUGUCCUGAACCAUAAGCAAAGGGAGUUGCCAGUGUUUUAGCAAACGCAUCCUGUAUUGGCCUGUUUGUGUUGUCUCGUGUGGUUGCUGCAAAGGUAUAUAUAUACUUAACCAUGUUAAAAUUUGGUAGAAAACCAAAACUUAAGAAAUUAUGAAAUUAGAGAUUGACACCUGUGGUCAUGAUUGCUGAUUUUAUAGCAGCAGGACUCCAACUAGGAUAACGUGUUUUGAGAAGUCCAGCGAUGCCAGCAACAUGAGGGCAAGACAUAGAAGUUCCUUGCAGUACAUUGAAUUUAAACCCACGACGAUUGUCUGUUAGCAAGGUUGAUGCACUUGCGAAUUCUGAGUAGGCAGCAAGUAUGUUCACACCAGGUGCAGUCACAUCGGGCUGAAACCAAAAUAAAACAAGGGUUUCAUAACAAACACGAACAAAUAUGAUAUACAGAGAGAGAGAGAGAGAGAGAGAGAGAGAUACAUAGUUGAUUAUAACAAAUGAAUCAAAUAUGUACUGAUUAACUAAUGUGGACGUGCUGCACCUUGAGUAUUGAUGGUUGAAUCUUAUUGGGUCCUCGAGAUGAGAAUGAAGCCAUAACUGGAGCUGGCUUUCUUCCAAAUAACGUCCUUGCUGUAGACAUUCUUAUGGUAGCACCUGAUUCUAUAGGGUCCCUGCAAAAAUGUACGUGUGCAUGAAUAAAAAAUGGAGCAAAUGUUUUGUAGGAUGUCAUUUGAAAACUGCUAAACAAUUUUGAAGUGCAUGAAGGAUAUAUAGUUACGUUGCAGUUAAGAAAAAAUCAGACUGUGCUCCUGCAUGGUCAUCAUUUGUGCCCACAGUUGAGAGAACAUGAGGCUCGCCAAAAGUUGUUUUUCCAUUUUGCUUUUGAUUGCCCAAAAUCAUUCCCUGUGCGCCUGAAGAAAGAGCUUCAUUACCCUCAGCAACUGAUUUUAUCUUUCCAUCUCGAAUACAACGCACUAUUUUGCCCUUUACUUUUGCAGGAUCAAGUGUUCCACGUCUACACAGUUG
RNAcentral lists this long non-coding RNA (6053 nucleotides) under Vigna radiata. RNAcentral describes it as "long non-coding RNA (VRAD_LNC003152)". Lineage: Eukaryota; Viridiplantae; Streptophyta; Magnoliopsida; Fabales; Fabaceae. The record is from RNAcentral.